CAAUCGACAGCACUAGCACAACAUAUAAAAGAGAGCGGACAUGCGGCAAACUUUAAGACAGUAAGAGUACUUGACAGAGAGAAAAUAGAGAACAAGCGAUACACAUUAGAGAGCCUACGGAUUCAACAAAUACUUAAAGAGUCGAUAAACACCAAAGAAGACAAAGACAACACUAAGCUGCAGUAUUCCAUUGCAAUAACUUGAAAACGACUGUUCUGUGAUAUUAGUAAUAAGUUUAGACUUUAUAUACUUCCCUCAAAGUGCAAUUAUUUAUAUUAUUAUAUUUUCUGUGUCGUGGUGUCCAGUUUUUAUAGUAAUAUAAGUAAUUCAACGAAGAUGUAAAAUUAAUCGAACUUCAAUAAACUCUGUCCUGAUGAAGUUGGAAAAAAUAACCAACGAAACGUCGAGAGAAAAAAUGAAAA
Stomoxys calcitrans (stable fly) is the source of this 422-nucleotide long non-coding RNA. RefSeq lists it as uncharacterized. The record is from RefSeq and is a predicted model, not a curated record. NCBI's taxonomy places the organism in Eukaryota, Metazoa, Arthropoda, Insecta, Diptera, Muscidae. The transcript has 2 exons.